Molecule: ribosomal RNA, 468 nt
Filed under: uncultured bacterium
Lineage: Bacteria
Description: partial 16S ribosomal RNA
Rfam family: Bacterial small subunit ribosomal RNA
Source: RNAcentral
GACGAACGCUGGCGGCGUGCUUAACACAUGCAAGUCGAACGGAAAGGCCCUGCUUUUGUGGGGUGCUCGAGUGGCGAACGGGUGAGUAACACGUGAGUAACCUGCCCUUGACUUUGGGAUAACUUCAGGAAACUGGGGCUAAUACCGGAUAGGAGCUCCUGCUGCAUGGUGGGGGUUGGAAAGUUUCGGCGGUUGGGGAUGGACUCGCGGCUUAUCAGCUUGUUGGUGGGGUAGUGGCUUACCAAGGCUUUGACGGGUAGCCGGCCUGAGAGGGUGACCGGCCACAUUGGUACUGAGAUACGGCCCAGACUCCUACGGGAGGCAGCGGUGGGGAAUAUUGCACAAUGGGCGGAAGCCUGAUGCAGCAACGCCGCGUGCGGGAUGACGGCCUUCGGGCUGUAAACCGCUUUCGCCUGUGACGAAGCGUGAGUGACGGUAAUGGGUAAAGAAGCACCGGCUAACUACGUG